UACAGAGGUCCCAAGCGUUGUUCGGAUUCAUUGGGCGUAAAGGGUGCGUAGGCGGCGCGGUAAGACGGGUGUGAAAUCUCGGAGCUUAACUCCGAAACUGCAUUCGAUACUGCCGUGCUUGAGGACUGGAGAGGAGACUGGAAUUUACGGUGUAGCGGUGAAAUGCGUAGAUAUCGUAAGGAAGACCAGUGGCGAAGGCGGGUCUCUGGACAGUUCCUGACGCUGAGGCACGAAGGUCAGGGGAGCAAACGGG
This 253-nucleotide ribosomal RNA is filed under the name uncultured bacterium. RNAcentral describes it as "partial 16S ribosomal RNA". It matches the Rfam family "Bacterial small subunit ribosomal RNA", at positions 524 to 776 of the family's 1533-position model. The record is from RNAcentral.